This 493-nucleotide ribosomal RNA is filed under the name uncultured bacterium. RNAcentral describes it as "partial 16S ribosomal RNA". It matches the Rfam family "Bacterial small subunit ribosomal RNA", at positions 28 to 523 of the family's 1533-position model. The record is from RNAcentral.
GACGAACGCUGGCGGCGUGCUUAACACAUGCAAGUCGAACGCUGAAGCCCUUUCGGGGGUGGAUGAGUGGCGAACGGGUGAGUAACACGUGGGUAAUCUGCCCUAUACUUCGGGAUAAGCCUUGGAAACGGGGUCUAAUACCGGAGAGGACCUGUCUUCGCAUGGGGGUGGGUGGAAAGUUCCGGCGGUAUGGGAGGAGCCCGCGGCCUAUCAGCUUGUUGGGGGGGUAGUGGCCUACCAAGGCGACGACGGGUAGCCGGCCUGAGAGGGUGACCGGUCACACUGGGACUGAGACACGGCCCAGACUCCUACGGGAGGCAGCAGUGGGGAAUCUUGCGCAAUGGGCGAAAGCCUGACGCAGCAACGCCGCGUGGGGGAUGACGGCCUUCGGGUUGUAAACCUCUUUCGACAUCGACGAAGGGGCCCUGUUGUGGGGUUUUGACGGUAGGUGUAGAAGAAGCACCGGCUAACUACGUGCCAGCCGCCGCAGUAA